UUUCCGUAGGUGAACCUGCGGAAGGAUCAUUACAGAGUUGUCGACACGAGUUGUUGCUGGUCCUCAAACGGGGGCAUGUGCACACUCUGUUCACACAUCCACUCACACCUGUGCACCCUCUGUAGUUCUAUGGUCUGGGGGACGCGCCGUCUUCCUUCCAUGGUUCUAUGUCUUUACACACACGCCGUAGCGAAGUCUUAUGGAAUGUACUCUGCGUUUAACGCGAUAUAAUACAACUUUCAGCAACGGAUCUCUUGGCUCUCGCAUCGAUGAAGAAGCAGC
Molecule: unclassified non-coding RNA, 282 nt
Filed under: plant metagenome
Description: partial contains small subunit ribosomal RNA, internal transcribed spacer 1, and 5.8S ribosomal RNA
Rfam family: 5.8S ribosomal RNA (bases 235-282)
Source: RNAcentral